This is a long non-coding RNA of Triticum dicoccoides, 468 nucleotides long. RefSeq lists it as uncharacterized. The record is from RefSeq and is a predicted model, not a curated record. Lineage: Eukaryota; Viridiplantae; Streptophyta; Magnoliopsida; Poales; Poaceae. The transcript has 2 exons.
UCCUCGGCUCGGACGCCGCUCUAGCCGAUAAAAAAAAGAGAUACGAACACCGUAGCUCGCCGACGGCUAGUUGGCGGUCGCCGGCGGCGAUCCGGUGCCGCUGGCGCUAGUAGAGGGGACGCCGCUGCGCGUGCGUGAAUGGACGGAAGCAGGCUGCCGGAUCCCUCCCGCCGCUGGCACCAGCCAGUCUCAGCUCGAGAUUUUGUUCGGUGAUGCAGCUAUGGGGAUGUCGUGGUCUUCUAUCUGAUUGCUUUGCCUAGUCGCCGGUCGCCACACAUUGGGGAUUGGGGUAGUAUUGUACAGAGGGCAACUGGGAAUUAAACAUCAAAUGUUUUGCAACUCGUAGACAAACUACUACUAGUGUUACUUAUGCGCCUUUUGAAUUCAGUUUUUAUGCUGUUGAACACAACAAUUAAGCCAUAGGGCUGGAUAUACUGAAGACAAUAUGCUAUAGGUGAUUCUGAUGUA